GGUGAGGUGUCCGAGUGGCUGAAGGAGCACGCCUGGAAAGUGUGUAUACGGCAACGUAUCGGGGGUUCGAA
RNAcentral lists this transfer RNA (71 nucleotides) under Escherichia coli 5412. RNAcentral describes it as "partial tRNA-OTHER". It matches the Rfam family "tRNA", at positions 1 to 57 of the family's 71-position model. Rfam says of the family: Transfer RNA (tRNA) molecules are approximately 80 nucleotides in length. Their secondary structure includes four short double-helical elements and three loops (D, anti-codon, and T loops). Lineage: Bacteria; Pseudomonadati; Pseudomonadota; Gammaproteobacteria; Enterobacterales; Enterobacteriaceae. The record is from RNAcentral.